RNAcentral lists this unclassified non-coding RNA (183 nucleotides) under Pentas lanceolata (Egyptian star cluster). Its description in RNAcentral is "ITS1". Lineage: Eukaryota; Viridiplantae; Streptophyta; Magnoliopsida; Gentianales; Rubiaceae. The record is from RNAcentral.
UCGAAUCCUGCAGACCACCGCGAACACGUUAUUAAAACCCCGGGCCGUUCGGGAGACGACGUCUCCCGGGCGCCCGAACCGAACAAAAAAUCCGGCGCGGAAAGCGCCAAGGACUACUCAAACGGAUCGCCCGUGCCCCCGGCGGCUUCCGUUGGGGGCGCGCGGCGUCUGAAUCGUUUAACC